AUACCGGCAGCCCGAGUGGUGGCCACUAUUAUUGGGCCUAAAGCGUCCGUAGCCGGUCUGUAAAGUCUCCACUUAAAUCUCCGGACUCAAGCCGGAGGUUGGUGGAGAUACCUCCAGACUAGGGGCCGGGAGAGGCAGGAGGUACUCCCGGGGUAGGGGUGAAAUCCUAUAAUCCCGGGAGGACCACCGGUGGCAAAGGCGUCCUGCCAGAACGGGCCCGACGGUGAGGGACGAAAGCCAGGGGCGCGAACGGGAUUAGAAACCCCAGUAGUCC
Molecule: ribosomal RNA, 274 nt
Filed under: uncultured bacterium
Lineage: Bacteria
Description: partial 16S ribosomal RNA
Rfam family: Archaeal small subunit ribosomal RNA
Source: RNAcentral